This 1159-nucleotide long non-coding RNA is filed under the name Equus caballus (horse). Its description in RNAcentral is "lncRNA (ENSECAG00000033614.2)". Lineage: Eukaryota; Metazoa; Chordata; Mammalia; Perissodactyla; Equidae. The record is from RNAcentral.
GGCGGAGCAAAAUGGCAGGGUGAGCUGACCUGGGAUUCUCUCCCCUCCAAAAUACAACAAAGGAUUGGAAAAACUGAAUUUCAGAGAAUAAACCUAAUGCCAGCACGUUACAGACCUACAAUACCAAGAAGGCGGAGAUCUUAAACCCUACUUACGGCCUCGGAGGCGCUGGAACGGUAGGAGAGAACAUCGCUCCCUCUCCUAGAGUCUGCGAUUGCUGCGGCGCGGGUCAGGAAGGAGCGGGGGAGGGGCCGCGCGACCGGGGGAUCAUCCAGGACUCCUGCCACUGAUUCAGUGGAGACCCGCUGACGGGGGGGAAAGCUUCCGUCCGCGGGGACCCUAUAAAUCAAGGGCCUUGGGAGACCAGAGAACAGAACUGAUCUGAACCCAGACCAGCGCGUUUGUGGCAUGUGGGACGCCGCCUCAGCGUGGUCUGAUGAGCAGUGCCAUGUCCGCGCCCAGUAUUCGAACCAACGAAACACUGGGCUGCCUGCAGCCCAGCGCUUGAACUUAACCACUCGGCGGCGGGGCCAGCCCCUCAAGAUUUUUAAAACAAAGCAGAGAGGAACAAAGCAGAGCGCAGGCCCAGUAUCAAUGUAUAACUCUGGAUGCUCACUCAGCACAUCGUGUGGUGGGACUAACUCAGCUGUGAGCACUGAAGUUCACAGCAGCCCCAGGGAGGACUCAGUUCACACUCGGCAGCAGCAGAAGGCAGAAUCCCCACAAGACGUGAAAGAACCGACUCUGCUGGUCAGCAGGAGGCCAGAGGGUCUUCUGAGUAACCCUCCAGUCUGUUCUCUGCUGCUGAAGAACAAGGACGAUGAUUCAACUCCUAAACAGUCCCUCGCAAGGGAUCUUGGACUGCUUUCCACGUAUGUGGUCAUCGUCAUGAGUCUCAGCUGCUUGAUCUGAUUCAACAAUUAAUUUUGUUUACAGAUUUUUCUCUAUAUUCCUAAACAUUGUUUUGGGGAAGAAAAAGCCACUUCUUUAAGGUAACUUAUUGUCAUCUUCCUAGACUUAACUUGAUUGCUGACUAUGAAUACAAAGGAUUAGUUCUUUUGAAGAGAAUGCUUCUUAAUUAUACACAGUAGAAAUGUGAUUACUCAUGUUCCUUCAUUAACCUGAAUAGUUUGUGAGAAAUAAAAAGUGUAAGAAAAAG